CCUUGUACACACCGCCCGUCACACCAUGGGAGCUGGUUUUACCUUAAGACGGUGCGCUAACCGCAAGGAGGCAGCCGGCCACGGUAAGGUCAGCGACUGGGGUG
Molecule: ribosomal RNA, 104 nt
Filed under: uncultured bacterium
Lineage: Bacteria
Description: partial 16S ribosomal RNA
Rfam family: Bacterial small subunit ribosomal RNA
Source: RNAcentral